UACGGGAGGCAGCAGUGGGGAAUAUUGGACAAUGGGCGCAAGCCUGAUCCAGCCAUGCCGCGUGUGUGAAGAAGGCCUUCGGGUUGUAAAGCACUUUUGUCCGGAAAGAAAAGCUUAGGGUUAAUAACCUUGAGUCAUGACGGUACCGGAAGAAUAAGCACCGGCUAACUUCGUGCCAGCAGCCGCGGUAAUACGAAGGGUGCAAGCGUUACUCGGAAUUACUGGGCGUAAAGCGUGCGUAGGUGGUUUGUUAAGUCUGAUGUGAAAGCCCUGGGCUCAACCUGGGAAUGGCAUUGGAAACUGGCUUACUAGAGUGCGGUAGAGGGGUGUGGAAUUCCCGGUGUAGCAGUGAAAUGCGUAGAUAUCGGGAGGAACAUCUGUGGCGAAGGCGACACCCUGGACCAGCACUGACACUGAGGCACGAAAGCGUGGGGAGCAAACAGGGAUUAGAUACC
Molecule: ribosomal RNA, 455 nt
Filed under: uncultured bacterium
Lineage: Bacteria
Description: bacterial SSU rRNA
Rfam family: Bacterial small subunit ribosomal RNA
Source: RNAcentral